UGGGGAAUUUUGGACAAUGGGCGAAAGCCUGAUCCAGCAAUGCCGCGUGUGUGAAGAAGGCCUUCGGGUUGUAAAGCACUUUUGUCCGGAAAGAAAUCCUUGGCUCUAAUACAGUCGGGGGAUGACGGUACCGGAAGAAUAAGCACCGGCUAACUACGUGCCAGCAGCCGCGGUAAUACGUAGGGUGCAAGCGUUAAUCGGAAUUACUGGGCGUAAAGCGUGCGCAGGCGGUUUGCUAAGACCGAUGUGAAAUCCCCGGGCUCAACCUGGGAACUGCAUUGGUGACUGGCAGGCUAGAGUAUGGCAGAGGGGGGUAGAAUUCCACGUGUAGCAGUGAAAUGCGUAGAGAUGUGGAGGAAUACCGAUGGCGAAGGCAGCCCCCUGGGCCAAUACUGACGCUCAUGCACGAAAGCGUGGGGAGCAAACAGGACUAGAUACCCUGGUAGUCCACGCCCUAAACGAUGUCAACUAGUUGUUGGGGAUUCAUUUCCUAGUAACGUAGCUAACGCGUGAAGUUGACCGCCUGGGGAGUACGGUCGCAAGAUUAAAACUUAAAUGAAUUGACGGGGUCAUAGCUGUUUCCU
This 584-nucleotide ribosomal RNA is filed under the name uncultured bacterium. RNAcentral's name for it is "partial 16S ribosomal RNA". It matches the Rfam family "Bacterial small subunit ribosomal RNA", at positions 355 to 1375 of the family's 1533-position model. The record is from RNAcentral.